AUGAUACCCGGGUAGUCCACGCCGUAAACGAUGAGUGCUAAGUGUUAGAGGGUUUCCGCCCGUUUAGUGCUGCAGCUAACGCAUUAAGCACUCCGCCUGGGGAGUACGGUCGCAAGACUGAAACUCAAAGGAAUUGACGGGGGGCCCGCACAAGCGGUGGAGCAUGUGGUUUAAUUCGAAGCAACGCGAAGAACCUUACCAGGUCUUGACAUCCCACUGACCGGUAUAGAGAUAUACCUUUCCCUUCGGGGACAGUGGUGACAGGUGGUGCAUGGUUGUCGUCAGCUCGUGUCGUGAGAUGUUGGGUUAAGUCCCGCAACGAGCGCAACCCUUGAUCUUAGUUGCCAGCAUUUAGUUGGGCACUCUAAGGUGACUGCCGGUGACAAACCGGAGGAAGGUGGGGAUGACGUCAAAUCAUCAUGCCCCUUAUGACCUGGGCUACACACGUGCUACAAUGGAUGGUACAAAGGGCUGCAAGACUGCGAAGUCAAGCCAAAUCCCAUAAAAACCAUUCUCAGUUCGGAUUGCAGG
RNAcentral lists this ribosomal RNA (531 nucleotides) under uncultured bacterium. RNAcentral's name for it is "bacterial SSU rRNA". It matches the Rfam family "Bacterial small subunit ribosomal RNA", at positions 779 to 1304 of the family's 1533-position model. The record is from RNAcentral.